RNAcentral lists this ribosomal RNA (269 nucleotides) under uncultured bacterium. RNAcentral's name for it is "partial 16S ribosomal RNA". The record is from RNAcentral.
CUGCUGCCUCCCGUAGGAGUCUGGGCCGUGUCUCAGUCCCAGUGUGGGGGGCCUCCCUCUCAGAACCCCUACGCAUCGUCGCCACGGUGGGCCGUCACCCCGCCGUCUAGCUAAUGCGCCGCAUGCCCAUCCGCCACCGGAUCGCUCCUUUGGCCACCGGAGGAUGCCCUCCGGUGGCGUCACGGGGUAUUAGGCCGCGUUUCCGCGGGUUAUCCCCCUGUGGCGGCCAGGUUGCAUACGUGUUACUCACCCGUGCGCCGGUCGCCGGG